RNAcentral lists this ribosomal RNA (468 nucleotides) under uncultured bacterium. RNAcentral's name for it is "partial 16S ribosomal RNA". It matches the Rfam family "Bacterial small subunit ribosomal RNA", at positions 28 to 507 of the family's 1533-position model. The record is from RNAcentral.
GACGAACGCUGGCGGCGUGCUUAACACAUGCAAGUCGAACGGAAAGGCCCUGCUUUUGUGGGGUGCUCGAGUGGCGAACGGGUGAGUAACACGUGAGUAACCUGCCCUUGACUUUGGGAUAACUUCAGGAAACUGGGGCUAAUACCGGAUAGGAGCUCCUGCUGCAUGGUGGGGGUUGGAAAGUUUCGGCGGUUGGGGAUGGACUCGCGGCUUAUCAGCUUGUUGGUGGGGUAGUGGCUUACCAAGGCUUUGACGGGUAGCCGGCCUGAGAGGGUGACCGGCCACAUUGGGACUGAGGUACGACCCAGACUCCUACGGGAGGCAGCAGUGGGGAAUAUUGCACAAUGGGCGGAAGCCUGAUGCAGCAACGCCGCGUGCGGGAUGACGGCCUUCGGGUUGUAAACCGCUUUCGCCUGUGACGAAGCGUGAGUGACGGUAAUGGGUAAAGAAGCACCGGCUAACUACGUG